GACGAACGCUGGCGGCGUGCUUAACACAUGCAAGUCGAACGGAAAGGCCCUGCUUUUGUGGGGUGCUCGAGUGGCGAACGGGUGAGUAACACGUGAGUAACCUGCCCUUGACUUUGGGAUAACUUCAGGAAACUGGGGCUAAUACCGUAUAGGAGCUCCUGCUGCAUGGUGGGGGUUGGAAAGUUUCGGCGGUUGGGGAUGGACUCGCGGCUUAUCAGCUUGUUGGUGGGGUAGUGGCUUACCAAGGCUUUGACGGGUAGCCGGCAUGAGAGGGUGACCGGCCACAUUGGUACUGAGAUACGGCCCAGUCUCCUACGGGAGGCAGCAGUGGGGAAUAUUGCACAAUGGGCGGAAGCCUGAUGCAGCAACGCCGCGUGCGGGAUGACGGCCUUCGGGUUGUAAACCGCUUUCGCCUGUGACGAAGCGUGAGUGACGGUAAUGGGUAAAGAAGCACCGGCUAACUACGUG
Molecule: ribosomal RNA, 468 nt
Filed under: uncultured bacterium
Lineage: Bacteria
Description: partial 16S ribosomal RNA
Rfam family: Bacterial small subunit ribosomal RNA
Source: RNAcentral